RNAcentral lists this ribosomal RNA (478 nucleotides) under uncultured bacterium. RNAcentral describes it as "SSU rRNA". It matches the Rfam family "Bacterial small subunit ribosomal RNA", at positions 26 to 518 of the family's 1533-position model. The record is from RNAcentral.
AGGACGAACGCUGGCGGCGUGCUUAACACAUGCAAGUCGAGCGGAAAGGCCCUUCGGGGUACUCGAGCGGCGAACGGGUGAGUAACACGUGAGUAAUCUGCCCCUAGCUCUGGGAUAGCUCCGGGAAACCGGGAUUAAUACCGGAUAUGACCACUUUAGACAUCUGUUGUGGUGGAAAGAAUUUCGGCUAGGGAUGAGCUCGCGGCCUAUCAGCUUGUUGGUGGGGUAACGGCCUACCAAGGCGACGACGGGUAGCCGGCCUGAGAGGGCGACCGGCCACGACUGGGACUGAGACACGGCCCAGACUCCUACGGGAGGCAGCAGUGGGGAAUAUUGCGCAAUGGGCGAAAAGCCUGACGCAGCGACGCCGCGUGGGGGAUGAAGGCCUUCGGGUUGUAAACCCCGUUUCAGCGAGGGACGAAGCGAAAGUGACGGUACCUGCAGAAGAAGCGCCGGCUAACUACGUGUCAGCAGCCGC